AUAAUUGUCAGGGUGAACUUAGUUGAACAGUAAGGCUGAUCCAUUAUUACCUGAAUGUCAUUGGUUCAUGCCAUGGAUAAAGUCUUCUUGCAAUGCCACAUCUAAUCCUCCGUCAAGCUUCCAAUGCAGAAGUCUUGUGCACUAGUACACUCUUUAGUUUUUUUAUAUAGUGGAAUAAGAUGACAAUCAUAUUUAUUUUGGUAAUCAGAGA
RNAcentral lists this unclassified non-coding RNA (211 nucleotides) under Hevea brasiliensis (rubber tree). The record is from RNAcentral. Lineage: Eukaryota; Viridiplantae; Streptophyta; Magnoliopsida; Malpighiales; Euphorbiaceae.